Molecule: long non-coding RNA, 1689 nt
Filed under: Marmota monax (woodchuck)
Lineage: Eukaryota; Metazoa; Chordata; Mammalia; Rodentia; Sciuridae
Source: RNAcentral
CUAUAACUCUAGUAGCUGCUAGCUGCCAUAUUACCUUUAAUUUGUAUUAGUUUAGAUAUGUCUUUAAAAUAAUUUAGUAUACCUUCCAUGGAGAGGUGUUCUCUAAAUAAAUUAAUUCAAACACUAUUCAUAUUCCUCGUUAGUGUAUAUAGAUUUGCCAAAGAGUCUUUAAACACUUGUACCACUGACCCUAGAAAUGCUUUCUUUGGUCAUUGGCUGGCAAGCACUGCUGCUUUAUCUCCUGUUCUGAGACUGCUGUAUUUGUUAAUAUUCAACCCACAGAUCACAUAUUUUCCAGGGUCUAACAGGCCCGUAGGAAAGAAACUUAUUGUAAUAUUCCACAAAAUCAUCUGCUAAAUCAGCCCAUGAACUUCCUGUUCUUUUGAUGGUCACCCUGGGAGAUGGGGCUCCCUGGAGUGUGCGCAUGAAGUGCAGAGGUUGUUGGGACAGAGCUUAGGGAGAAUGUACAUGCUUCAGCUAAAGUGUGGGAGUUUUAACUCUGUGUGCCCCUGGGUGAAACUGUUAUGUUCUCUUUGCCUUAGUUUCCUCAAAUAUAAAAUGGAGAUAAUAAUAGUACCUAUUUAUAGUCUUAUUUUGAAGAUUAAACUUGGCUUUAGUAAGCAUUUGACAUACAGUUGCUAUUAUUAUGACUAGACUUGGAGGAUUGUGGUGGGGUUUCCCCCUGUCCAUAAUAGAUAACAGGAAGAAGAAGAGGCAAGAAAAUAUGCUGAGAAGGUAAGAUGAUCUCACCUUUCUUUCUUUGAAAUAACAAUGGACAAAAGAACAUGCAAAAAAAAUCGUUGGUGUACAAUGUGAUUCACGCAAUAAUAAAAGUAUGUUCAAGGUAAAGAAGGAAUGAUUAACAGGAUAUGGGAUUGGAAGGGCUUUGAGAGGACUACUUGGGCAGAGUUUUUGAAUAAGUGAGUAGUAGUGAUGCUGAUGCAGGAUAUGCCUGGGUUUGGAGAGCACUGUGACAUUGGAAUGGUACUGGAGGAGUGUAUAGUAUGGGAGAUGAGGCCAUAGAGGGAGGCUGGCUUCAGCUUACAAGUGUCAGUGGCUUUACCUCCAUGUAGCUGUGCAUUUGGGUUAGAGCUUCUCAAAGGAGGUGAGUGUUCCCUGAGUCCUUUCUCCCACCCCAUUCCAGAGCUGUCCUAGGCCCCUUAAAAAUCAUUCCCAUUAAAGUGCAGCUUUGGCUGGGCAGUCUUGUUUAGUGUUGUCACGUUUUGUUUUUUUUUCUGUUUGGGAAAUAUUGGUCCCUAACUUCCCAGAUACACCUGUAUCUGUAGUUAUCACUCCUCCACCUCCAGUUGCCCCAGAAACAUCCAGAGAGGCCAGUGAACGUUGCUUGGGAUGCUGUCAGUGUUCCCUCAAAUAUCCUCUUCAGGGCUGACCUUGGAUCCAAAUAAUUUAACUGUGGCACAUCUAUAGAGACAGAUUUACUUAUUAUAGAAAUAAAGUUCCAAGUUCAUAUGGCAAAACAAACCUGCCCAGGAUCAGUGGAGUGAGCUUAGAUGACAUUCCCACAUGAAAUACUGAGGUGCUGGAAGUGUCUGUUUGCCAGGUGUGCCCUGGUGGUCAUGGGGACUGAAGGUAGUGCCCAUGAGGCCCUUCAUCCUACCCAGCAGCAUGUGACUCUGGUAAUGAUAGUCCACACUCUUAGGUGAAACAAAUGUUCUGCCUCUCUCUCUC